This 6345-nucleotide long non-coding RNA is filed under the name Sus scrofa (pig). RNAcentral's name for it is "lncRNA (ENSSSCG00050027789.1)". Lineage: Eukaryota; Metazoa; Chordata; Mammalia; Artiodactyla; Suidae. The record is from RNAcentral.
ACCCUUGGCAUCUGGAAGUUCACAGGCUAGGGAUCAAAUCAGAGGUACAGCUGCUGGAUCACACCACAGCCACAGAAACUCAGGAUCCAAGCCCCACCUGCAACCUACACCACAGCUCACAGGAACGCCACAACCUUAACCCACUGAGUGAGGCCAAGGAUCUAACCUGCAUCUUCAUGGAUCCCAGUCAGGUUCGUUUACUGCUAAGUCGCAAAGGGAACUCCCCAAAGCCAAUAACUUAGAGAACAUUUACUAACACAAAAUCCUGGGAGAGACGCUGACCCCAAAGAGAGAAGAUGAAGCGAUGGUCUGGAAAGUGUGAACUCAUGAGGCAGAGCAAGGUCAGUUCCCCAAUAAGCGCCCAGAGUUGCUGGGUGAAAGCGGGGUAACGGCUGAUAGGCACAGUUGAAAUAAAGAGAUUUGGAGAGGAAUUCGUAUUCUCACCCUACAGGAAUUUAUUUUUAAUUAUAGAUAAUUAUGCUGAAUUACAACAAGAUGAUUUGAACCAUUACGCUAAUUCAGGAGUAAUAAAGCAUGAAUUACUGAUGCAAUUUUUAAAAAUGUAACCUAUCAAUCAACACUGGAUCAGCAACAGACAAAGGCUCUGAUGUGACAUUCGUAUCGUACAGGAUUAUAGUUAAAAAUGGCCUUCCACUUACCCCUUAAGAGCCCCCAGCGAGCGAUGAGGUGGGAACACCGGGACUCUGUGAAGAGCCCCGUGAAGAUACCCGUGCAGGGGUACCCCUCCAGGCUACCCCUCCCCGCGGGCUGGCUCUCAGAAUCCCUGGUUUUUAGACGUAGUGGAACACAAUACUUUGUGUCCGGUCAGACCUUGGUUCAAAUCCCAGCUUUGACCUUGGCUAGCUAUAUAACCUUCAGAAAGUAACUUCCAUUUCUCCAAGCCUCGGUUGCCUCAUCUAUAAAAUGGGAACAAGAGCCUAACACACAAGGCUCUUCUGAUGAUUGCAUGAUAAGGUCCAUAAAAUUUCUGAGGCAGUGAAAAUUCAACAGCUGGUCAGGGGGAUAAGGUCCUGCCCUGGACUGAGGUCACUAAUAGAAUCACAUGUGGCUCUUAUGCUGAAAAACUAGCCCCUAGCCUUCCAGGGAGCUCCUCCAGACCCAGUUUUGUUCAGCAGGACAGAGCAGUCUGUCUAGUUUUCAUGUAACAUUUCAUGAGGGUUAAGGCUCACAGUCAAAGGAUGGUUCCUGAGCUGGCAGGUCAAGUAAGAUCCAUCAGUCGGUGCUCGGAGAAAGUGCUGGGCUUGCUGAUGAAACAUCUGCCCAAUGUGUAUUCUCUCUCCUGAACCUAAGAGGCCAUGUCUGAAGACAACAAAGACGGGGGAGGGUGGGGGAAGGAGAUGAUAAAUGUCUCCCACACAGUGACUGCUAAUUUCUAUAGCAAGACUGGCGACCUUACUCAAAGUGAAAAGACUUCACGAAGAAGAGGGGGAAAACCCAGGAUUAAGCAUUAUCUAUGAGUCAGUUUUGCUUGCAUAUUAUUACAUAAUGCCCUCUUUAGAGAGGAACAAAACAGAAAAAUAUUGCCCAAGUUCAUAGAGCCAGUCAUUGGUAGAGUCCGGAUUAAAACUCAGAUCUUUCUUACUCCAAAAAUCACAAGCUUUCAGUUAAACCAUACUAUCUUUACCAAAAUAACUGACUUGUAUUUCAUGGUGCUGCUAUUUUAAGUAGAAGGGGGAGAAAAGAUGGUGGGUGUGGAAGGAAGAAAACCCAGAAUGUACCUAUAAGAACUGCAAGUAAGUCAAGAAGAAAGAACCUAUCCACACACAAGCUGAACAGAAAUGAAUGACCACACACACAAAAGCACUGGGCACAAAAAUACAUGAUCCAUCUCAGGCUAUAAGACCUUUGUAUCGCCUGGGAGCCAGAGUUAACCAGACGAAAUGGCAAAGGCAAUGAGGUCAAUGGCCUGUGGAGGGCAGCAGAGAGUUGGGGUUUGAUGAGCACCUUUGGCUCCCAAACUCGGGGUAGAGGUGGAAGUCAACAAAAAGCCUUGCCUCAGAGAGACUUUAUCGAUAACUGAGAAUCAACUGGGCUCUGUGCAAAGAGGUCACCCUCGGUCAGGGUAGACCUGGAGACGGGUCUUUGCAUUUGGGUCCAGACAGGCAUUUGCAUUAAGGCAGGGUGGCAAGAGGGCUCUAACAAGAGAUCAAGCUGCCCAGCAGUGAGUUCAAAGACCAUGGAUUGUGAAUGGAGUUAGAGCUGGGCACACGCUGGGGCUUGAACACACUCAGCUCUGAUGGACAGGCGUGGCUUAGUGCCCUGUGUUCCCUCGGGGCAAGAAAAUGGAGCUGGGUGGGCACAGUCCUACUAGGUUACUUGACUGACCCUCAGAAAGCAUUUGAAUUUGAGACACCUGGUUUUAAAGAGAUGUUAUCCCAAGAGAUAACUUUGACAACAGUCAUCACUGCAAUUUUCAAUGUCAAAGACAUAAGCAGGAUUCAGAGCCUACACCAUUUCUUUUCCCCUCCACCACGUAAGGGCAGAUUUCUCAUACACAUCACGGAAUGGGCUAAAAGCGGAGACAAUCUGACCACCACCGCACCCCCCCACCGCCAAAAAAAAAAAAGAGUAAAGACAAUAUCCACAUUCUCAUUAACAUCUUAAAUUUAAGGAGAGCCUACAUGGAUCUGAUCCCAUAACCAGUCUAGUGAACGCAAGGAUGCAUGUGGUAUGAUCACUCCCCGCCGUAGUGUAAUUGGGGAAAUGGGAUCCGUACUACGUAAGUAGGUCUGCAAUGCCGCCUUGGCAUCUGUUAAAUGCCAAGUAAGAGUGUAAACAAUAAGGGCUAGAGGUAUUCUAAAGUUUAUUGUGGGCUGAGAUGGUUUAGGUUGACUUCACAAAGAAGUAGAAUAUUAACUGGGUCUUGGAUAAAGGUUAGGCUUCAAUAGUUAGAACAAUAGAAAGGAGGGUAUUCCAAGAAAGGGACACUGCAUGAGCUCAAGAGAGGCAGCAGGAAGAUGUGGGGCCAAGGUUAGGGACGACGAGAUCAGCCUGGCUACAGUCCGGAAUUCACGCGGAAAGAGGAGCAUGCAUGCAUCCCGGGACUUUAAGAAUAAUCCCACUCUCAGGUUUGUAAGACCACACAGGUUACCAUGGCCCCUAAUCUUUAAUUUGGGAAAAUGAGAUUAUCAUACAUCACCACUCCCUAAACUCUGAUACACUCUUGAAGCCAGGAAAGUUAAGACCUGUUGAUAAUUCUACCUUUGUGUCUCUACCAUAGUAUUUGGGACUUGGACGGCUCAAUGAACCCAGGACCAUUUGUUCUCUGUACUUUGAGGGUUGCAUUCCCAAUGAAUAUUUACUUAUCAAAGACCAUAUUAGGGCCUAAGGCUGAGUUUUCAGGUGUAUAUUCCAAAGUUAUUUUUUUUCCUUUUGGAAUGUGCAAUAUAUCACAAGAGCCUAGCUUUCGAAAUGAAACAUCAUUGAGCAAAUGCAUCCAUCUAGCUUAAGUGAGGCAUUUCUUUUCUCCUUACCGCGUAAGGGCAGGUCUCAUAUGCGCUUAGCAUCCACUGAAGGGCGAGCAAAUCACACAGUGUCUCCAAACAGCUGUGUGUGGCAGACUUGAACUUUUUCUUUUUUCCUUAAGGGACAUAUGAUUACUGGAUGGUUUUAGGAGACAAUUCUUUAUAACUAAUAACAGCAGAUGUAACUCAUUCUUCUUCAUUAAUUCACCCAUCAUAUGCAAUUUUUGUUAUAAAAGCUUUGCUAGAGAAGAAAUACCUGUUUGUGACUGAAUAGAAGAAGGAAUGAAUGAGUAGAUACCAACAGAAGGACUGCUGAUGAUACUUUCAAAAUGUUUCUCCAAGUGUAGGCAGUGGACCCCAUAGUGAAGUCAGCCAGAUUGCUGAUCUAAAAUGCGGGGCUCUCCAAGGUAAGGCUUGGAAGUGUGCACCUUAAGUUCCUGGGUGAUUCUCAUAGCUCUGAAGGCUAGCAUCUUUGCCUCAGAGGAAGGUGCAAGCAGAACUUGGGUGGACGUGGAAGCUGAGCUGUGCAGUAUCUGAACAGAUCCUGAUGGUAGUGGGGAGAAGCCAGGAGAGAGAACCUCAGUUAGGCAGAAGCACUCUGAUGUCUGCUCUGAGGGGGUGGUUUGCAGAACUAUACUUCAAUUUAAAAAAGAAGAUAAAUUUGAAAAAACUAAAAAAAAAAAAAAAAAGAAAGAAAGAAAGAAAAGAAAACAGUAUUGGGUCUGGGACACUGAGCCCUGCCUCCUAGGAACGAGACACGUAAGAUGUCACAUACCAGCACAGACAAUGACGGCUCCCAGGACACUGCUGCUGCCUUAGGUUUGCCGCUGCUCUUAGCAUCUUUCCAAAAAGGGGCCAUCCCAACCUGGUGGUAAGGAAGAAGCUCCCCAGAGCAGGACAGAAUCCCACGGGGCAUGUCAGAGCAGACAAAGACUGGGUCCUAUGGGAGGAGUAAGUGGCUAUUAUAAGUUGUUUGGGCUUCUAUCUGUAGGUGACAGGGACCUCAAGACAUUUGCUUUUUAAGAUGAGAGCUGAUAUAUCCAAAAGUGCACUUGAGAAGAUGCAGCUGAGAAACAUGUACAGGUGGGAGGGGGCAGAAAACACAGGCAGGGAAUCCAGUAAGAAGAUUGCUGCUCAAGUUUACCCAUUAGAGUCCGUCUCCGUUUCCUGGAGAGUUUUCACAUUUCUGGCCAGUGCUGAUUAUUUCCGACUGACUCUCGAAAGUGUAGACGUUCUGUCUUAUCACUCUGUGUGUUUCCCACUAUGUAUGGUGCUGAAAUGAACCAAGCCAUGCCCAUCUCCUGGUAAUGACAAUACACUUGAUGUCUACUUCAAUGCAAAUCACAGUUAUCAGCCUUUUAUUUUUUAAUUCACCAUAUUAUUUUUUUUAAUUCACCCUACAAAUACGUACCAGAUUCAUAUUUUGUUCUGGAAUGAUGAGAGACGUUAUCUGCCCCCAUGGGCAGUGCCGUUCACUGCUUCCAAUGGACACGGAGGUGGGAGUGUGUGAGGGUGCUGCAGGUGCAAAUAACACCAGCAAAGGUCCAGGGACCCCAAAGAGAACUAUCUCCUCCAGGGAGGUAAGAACUGCCCCACAAGAGAUGGGGUAGUGGCAGUGGAGGAAAAGCAUGACCUUGAAUGUCCUACAAAGGAGUUUGACAUGUAACCUCCAGACACUAGGAAGCCAUUGAAGGCUUUGAAGCAGGUGAGUUCAUGGACCAGAUCUGGGUUUUAGAACAUAAACUUUCUAAGCAAGCACAGCAUGAACUGGCAAAGGUAGAUUCCUGGGAUGGGCACGUUCACUGGAACGUGGCUGCCACUGUCCAGGUGAAAGACGGUAGGGGCCCAAGUGAAGGCGCCAAUCUGAAGAGGCCAAAAGACCACGAGGAGAUCAAUCUAUAAGCCUAAGGAGGAGCUGAAAAACAUCCCUGCCCUGAUGACCACGUGGUCCAAAGAAUGCCGCUGAUUAAACAUGCCUCGGGGAGGAAGAGUGUGUACGAGGCAGGCUGACACCUUGGGUUCUAAUUCAUUCCUCACUGCAGUUAGAGCAUCACGGUUUGCACUGAACUCACAGACCUGGCCACAGCCCUCCGCUGCUCUGAGCUCUCGCGUGGACCACCUUCCUCAGCCUCAUCAAGUUCCAACUCAUUACCGCCUAGGCCUACAUUCAUCAGCUGCCUGCUUGAUGGAAGUGGUGGCAGUAGGUGUCCUUUCAGGAAAGGGUGGCUACAUGGUGAAUUAAGAGGCAGCGCCUACCUUUUUUUAAAUCAAUGUUUUGAAUUAAUUAAUACCUAAUAAUUCAAUUUUUUGAAUUAAUUAGUGCAAGAAACAUUUCCUGAGCGCCUCUGUGUAACCAGUACAUUAUCAAAGUAGCGAAAAGAACAGACAAAAGUCCCCACCCUCAUGUAGGAGACACUCUGGUGAGAGAGGCAGAUAAUACCCAGCAAGAAAGGGAAGAGCAUCCCAGGCAGAGCACACAGCAAGUGCAAAGGCCCUGGGGUGGGAGCCUGACUGCCUCCUACACAUCCUACCUUACUGAGGCUCACAAGCUCAGAGUCACUGAUUUAUUCAUCUCUCCCAUAAGCCAGACCAUGUGCCAGGCACUUGAGAUACCAGAUGAAUAAGUUUCACUGCCAGUAAAUCCACACAUAGAGACGAAUGACAGGCUGAUGCUGCUUAAAAACUCAAACUGACUCUUCUAACUCACGAGGUCAAUGUUAGUUCAAAGGGACAAUUUGGCUUUUUUCAUUGGCUGUUUUCAGAGAGGGGCAAUGUAUCACUUUAAACAUAAAAUGUCACCCUUAUCUAUUUUAUGUGUAGAGAUGACACAUUUACUAUUUUAUUUGAAAAAACGAUUCUU